AUUACCGUCUGUACGGAUCCUUUUCCGAACGACUUUUCGCCCAAAAUAAUUGCCCGGUGAUGAUCCUGCAGCGCUCCGGCAACAAUUUCGGAAGCCGAGGCCGAGCCUUCGUUGAUCAAAACGACAAUAGGCAGGCCGUUUGCAAUAUCCCCGGCUUUUGCCGUAUAUUUUAUAGUAUCGCUCUCAUUGCGGGAACGCGUGGAAACGAUUUCGCCUUUGUCGAGGAAAAGAUCGGAAACGGCAACCGCCUGAUCCAGAAGCCCGCCGGGAUUAUUCCG
RNAcentral lists this non-coding RNA (278 nucleotides) under chicken gut metagenome. The record is from RNAcentral.